RNAcentral lists this ribosomal RNA (339 nucleotides) under uncultured eukaryote. RNAcentral's name for it is "partial 18S ribosomal RNA". It matches the Rfam family "Eukaryotic small subunit ribosomal RNA", at positions 592 to 976 of the family's 1831-position model. The record is from RNAcentral.
CAAUAGCGUAUAUUAAAGUUGUUGCAGUUAAAAAGCUCGUAGUUGAAUUUCUGGGCUGGCCGGGAGGCGGCCUUCGGUCGACCUCCCCGCGAGUUCAUCCUCGCCCCUCGGGGCGUCAUUUACUGUGAAAAAAUUAGAGUGUUUAAAGCAGGCUUCUGGCUUGAAUACAUUAGCAUGGAAUAAUGAGAUAGGACCGAGUCGUAUUUUGUUGGUUGCGCGAACCGGUAAUGAUUAAUAGGGACAGUUGGGGGUAUUCAUAUUUAAUUGUCAGAGGUGAAAUUCUUAGAUUUGUUAAAGAUGAACUACUGCGAAAGCAUUUACCAAGGAUGUUUNCAUUAA